GCAAGUCGGACGGUAACAUGGGGGCUUGCUCCCGAUGACGAGUGGCGCACGGGUGCGUAACGCGUAUGCAACCUACCCAUGACAGGGGGAUAGCCCAGGGAAACUUGGAUUAAUACCGCAUAAAGCAGGGCGUACCGCAUGGUACUAUUUGCUAAAAGAGUAAUCUGGUCAUGGAUGGGCAUGCGUCCCAUUAGUUAGUUGGCGAGGUAACGGCUCACCAAGACGAUGAUGGGUAGGGGUUCUGAGAGGAAGGUC
Molecule: ribosomal RNA, 255 nt
Filed under: uncultured bacterium
Lineage: Bacteria
Description: partial 16S ribosomal RNA
Rfam family: Bacterial small subunit ribosomal RNA
Source: RNAcentral